This 503-nucleotide ribosomal RNA is filed under the name uncultured bacterium. RNAcentral describes it as "bacterial SSU rRNA". It matches the Rfam family "Bacterial small subunit ribosomal RNA", at positions 28 to 526 of the family's 1533-position model. The record is from RNAcentral.
GAUGAACGCUAGCGGCAGGCUUAAUACAUGCAAGUCGAGGGGCAGCACGGGUAGCAAUACUGGGUGGCGACCGGCAAACGGGUGCGGAACACGUACACAACUUACCUUAUGGUGGGGGAUAGCCUUUGGAAACGGAGAUUAAUACCCCAUAAUAUAUUAUGGUCGCAUGAUCGUGAUAUUAAAGAUUUCUUGCCAUAAGCUUGGUGUGCGUAUGAUUAGGUAGUUGGUAGGGUAAAGGACUACCAAGCCAACGAUCAUUAACUGGUGUGAGAGCACGACCAGUCACACGGGCACUGAGACACCGGCCCGACUCCUACGGGAGGCAGCAGUAAGGAAUAUUGGUCAAUGGACGGAAGUCUGAACCAGCCAUGCCGCGUGGGGGAUGAAGGUCCUCUGGAUUGUAAACUUCUUUUAUAGGGGGCGAAAAAGGGCCUUUUUAGGUCAACUGACGGUACCCUAUGAAUAAGCACCGGCUAACUCCGUGCCAGCAGCCGCCGUAAAAC